Molecule: unclassified non-coding RNA, 250 nt
Filed under: Hevea brasiliensis (rubber tree)
Lineage: Eukaryota; Viridiplantae; Streptophyta; Magnoliopsida; Malpighiales; Euphorbiaceae
Source: RNAcentral
GGUUGGCAAUGUAUUUUGCAUGAGAAACGGCUUCCAAGGGACAUAAUAAACUUUCAGCCCAUUUGUCAUAUAUCUUACUCCAGAACGAUUCUGAUAAGCAUGAGUCAUAACUACCACCUUGUGGCCUUCCUUAAUCAAGCAUUGUGAUAAAUAGUAUAUAUGAUUCUCCACACCACCAAAAUUGGGGUAGAAAAAAUCUGAGACCAUUAAAAUUCUAUGUUUUUCCGGUUCACCCAUGAUAACAGAUCAC